Molecule: unclassified non-coding RNA, 390 nt
Filed under: uncultured fungus
Lineage: Eukaryota; Fungi
Description: partial contains 5.8S ribosomal RNA and internal transcribed spacer 2
Rfam family: 5.8S ribosomal RNA (bases 1-133)
Source: RNAcentral
UGGCUCUCGCAUCGAUGAAGAACGCAGCGAAAUGCGAUAAGUAAUGUGAAUUGCAGAAUUCAGUGAAUCAUCGAAUCUUUGAACGCACCUUGCGCUCCUUGGUAUUCCGAGGAGCAUGCUUGUUUGAGUGUCAUGGUCUUCUCAACCCCUUUGCGUUUUUAAUCGAACACAACCGGGCUUGGACUUGGAGGCUUUUGCGGGCUUCGGGACCUUUCCGGUCCAGGAGCCGGCUCCUCUGAAAUGCAUUAGCUUGAACAGAACCAAGCAUGAUUCAACGUGAUAAUUGUCUACGUUGCUUCAUCUCGGUGAACUUCAAUGUUCGGGCUUCCAACCGUCCUUCGGGACACCAUCUGAACAUCUGACCUCAAAUCAAGUAGGACUACCCGCUGA